Molecule: long non-coding RNA, 2495 nt
Filed under: Homo sapiens (human)
Lineage: Eukaryota; Metazoa; Chordata; Mammalia; Primates; Hominidae
Description: HSALNT0296374
Source: RNAcentral
GCUGCGGGCCGCCCGCCCGGACGCAAGGCACAGGGGGACGCCCCGCCGAGCCGCUGCCCACUGCACCGAGUUUUUCGGAGGCUGGGAGAGGAAAUGCCACUUGGAUUUUAAAACCGUCACCGAUACGCUAUAGCCCUGCUUUCUCUACCUCCAGUCGUUUUCUGAGGACCGGCUUGGUGGGUGCUGAUGCCUGCCUGGAAGACCUCACACCCACAGUGUCUUAGAAGAUUCUGAAAGCAGUGUGAGACCAGAAUGACCAGCAAAGGAGAAAAGAACAAGGACACAUUGCAGCCAAAAUGGAGCUAGAAUCUUGCCUCUGUCCAUCCUUCACUGGAGUUAUCCUGGAUGGAGAAGGAACCAUAUCACCUGCAAAGCCUGGAAGGGGAGCCCUGCUGUGAGGUGAGCCAGUCUUUCUCAGGUGAGGCCCCAGGCUGUGACCAGGCCCCUGCCCUGCAUGUGACUCAGGCCUAGCCCCUGCUGGGGCAGGAAUGCCACCCAGCACAGCAUCCUACUGGUGCCUGAAUAAAGAAUGGACUGGAGGUUCACCUGAAAGGGGCUGCCAGGUUUCUGCGGGGGCCAGCCAACGGCUCACAAUGACCCUGUGUUCGACUCAUCUUACGAUGAAAUUUUUCAGCUUGACGAACUUUUACUCAUCUUUCAAGGCUCGGCUCAAAUGUUAUUUCCCUGGGAAAACUGCGCUACUUUCAGCAAAAUGCAUUUCCUUUUGAUGGGCAUCUGUUUUUUUCUUUCUUUCUUUCUUUCUUUUUUUUUUUUUUUUUUUUUUUUUUGAGACAGGGUCUUGCUCUCUUGUCCAGGCUGGAGUGCAGUGGUGCAAUCUUGGCUCACUGAACCUUCACAAUGGGCAUCUGUUUCUGUUCUAUGGAGUGACCUAAAAGUCAAGAAUCAUGGAGAAAUUGGGAGCAAUGGCUCACGCCUGUAAAUCCCAGCACUUUGGGAGGCUGAGGCAGGCGGAUCACUUGAGGCCAGGAGUUCGAGACCAGCCUGGCCAACAUGGUGAAACCCCGUCUCUACUAAAAAUACAAAAAAAAAAAAAUCUGUUAGCUGAGCACUGUGGCGUGCGCCUGUUAUCCCAGCUACUCGGGAGGUUGAGGCACAAGAAUUGCUUGAAGCUGGGAGGGGGAGGUUGCGGUGAGCCGAGAUCAAGCCACUGCACUCCAGCCUUGGUGACAGAGUGAAACUGUGUCUCAAAAAUUUUAAAAAAAAAAAAAUCAUGGGGAGAAUUUAUUGUUAAACAGAAUAUUAGUUACAUUUUCAAAUAAUACAGUCAAUAUGUUUUUCUGUAACCUUUAGAUAUGUUUUCAGGUGAAGUACCUCUAAAUGUAAAGAAAUGGGUCCAAUUGUUAAUUUUUUUUAAAGGUUCAAGAAAUACACUACUUUCUCUGGCUUUUUCCUUACAACUCUUUUUUUUUUUUUUUUUUUUUUGAGAUGAAGUCUUGCUCUGUCACCCAGGCUGGAGUGCAGUGGCAUGAUCUCAGCCCACUGCAACCUCCACCUCCCGGGUUCAAGCGAUUUUCCUGCCUCAGCCUCCUGAGUAGCUGGGAUUACAGGCACACGUCACCACACCCGGCUAAUUUUUGUAUUUUUAGUAGAGACAGGAUUUUGCCAUGUUGGCCAGGCUUGUCUCAAACUCCUGACUUCAGGUCAUCCGCCUGCCUUAGCCUCUCAAAGUGCUGGGAUUAUAGGCUUGAGCCACUGUGCCCUGGCCUCUUGUACCUUUUUUACAUUAACAACUGGACUCGCUUUAAAUGUAGAGAUACUUCCUGAAAUGGUGUGUGAAGGUUGAAGAAAAACAUGAGCAUAUUAUUUGAAAAUGUGGCUAAAGUUCUGUUUUAAAGUAAGUUUAUGGUAAUAUUUCUAACUUUUCAGAUGCUCUGUAGUUCUUGGCACAUUUUUCACUAAUAUUUGGUGACAGGUCUGUCCCCGUUAAAAAUUGAGAAUUCCACAAAGCCUGGGAUAUGUUUUAUUCUUCUUUGACUCUUCACUCCCCAGCUAACCACCAUGCAGUGGGCAAUCAUAAGGGUUUAAUGAAUGAAUAAAUGAUCAAGUCAGGUAGGUUUUCCCCGAAUUCUUGUCUUUGGGGCUGAACCCAGGGUAGGUUUCCUGGCAUCAUUCCUGUGUUUUCUACUCUCCCUCCCUAAUCCUCUGAAAGUUUGAACAAAAAUAAGAUUAUGGGCCAGGUGUGGUGGCUCACGCCUGUAAUCCCAGCACUUUGGGAGGCUGAGGUGGGAGGAUGGCUUGAGCCCAGGGGUUUGAGACUAGCCUGGGCAACAUGGCGAAAUCCCGUCUCUACAAAAAAUAGAAAAAUUAUCUGGGUGUGGUGGUGCGCACCUGUAGUCCCAGCUACUCGGGAAGCUGAGGUGGGAGGAUCACCUGAGCCCGAGGAGGUCCAGGCUGCAGUGAACCAAGAUCACAUCACUACACUCCAGCCUGAGUGACAGAGUGAGACCCUGUCUCAAAAAAUAAAAAUAAAAAUA